AGUGCUUAACUGCAUUUUUUUACACAUGUGUUUUUCUUUUUUUUUGAAAACUUUGCUUUGGUGGGCCCAUGGCCUGCCAGAGAUUAAACUCAACCAAAUUUUUAUUUAAGUCAACUGAUUAACUAAUAGUCAAAACUUUCAACAACGGAUCUCUUGGUUCUCGCAUCGAUGAAGAACGCAGCGAAAUGCGAUAAGUAAUAUGAAUUGCAGAUAUUCGUGAAUCAUCGAAUCUUUGAACGCACAUUGCGCCCUUUGGUAUUCCAAAGGGCAUGCCUGUUUGAGCGUCAUUUCUCCCUCAAACCUUCGGGUUUGGUGUUGAGCGAUACGCUGGGUUUGCUUGAAAGAAAGGCGGAGUAUAAACUAAUGGAUAGGUUUUUUUCCACUCAUUGGUACAAACUCCAAAAUUCUUCCAAAUUCGACCUCAAAUCAGGUAGGACUACCCGCUGAACUUAAGCAUAUCAAUAAGCGGAGAAA
Molecule: ribosomal RNA, 474 nt
Filed under: Lodderomyces orthopsilosis
Lineage: Eukaryota; Fungi; Ascomycota; Pichiomycetes; Serinales; Debaryomycetaceae
Description: eukaryotic LSU rRNA
Rfam family: 5.8S ribosomal RNA (bases 134-287)
Source: RNAcentral